Molecule: long non-coding RNA, 2106 nt
Organism: Talpa occidentalis (Iberian mole)
Lineage: Eukaryota; Metazoa; Chordata; Mammalia; Eulipotyphla; Talpidae
Exons: 3
Source: RefSeq, a predicted model, not a curated record
UGGAAAUCACUGGCAAGUUGGAGAGAGAUAGAGGCUCCAGGAGCCGCAUGGAGAUGCCCUGAUGAGGGUGUUUGAAUUGUGGCAUAACAAGCCGCCCAAUGACUACAUGUGCCUGUCAAUUUUGGCCUUCUUGCUGUGUUUCCCCAUCGGCAUUAUAGCAUUGAUCUUCUCUCUCCAGACGAGGCUCCUGAACAGAUGGAAUGACCGAAUGUCAGCAGUGGAGACCUCCCACCAAGCCUACUACAUCGCAAUCACUGGGGUUAUCCUAGGAAGCAUCAUCAUACUCACCUUCACGAUUUACAUCACAGUAGAGUUUUUGUCUCGGUAACUUCUCUCCAACUAAUGAACAAACCAUCAAAUACAUACAACUGUGUGCUCCUUACCUAGACUGUAAGUAUACAUUUGGGCCAGUUGGGAUACCUGCUCCUUGAUGUCUGGAGUGCCAGGUGUUACCACCUGAGCCACCCCCCUGAUGUCACUGAUGGGGGAAGGAAGGGAUAGCUCAGGGAGCCCACUGGAUCAGAGCUCAAGACCAACCUGCAAACCCUCCACGAAACGGGCUCCCAAGGAGACAUGCUAGGAUUCUGCUUCCCGGGGCAGAUUCCCCUCCUUUUCACUCCUAGUUUCAUGACACAAAUCUACUAUGUCGACAAAAGGUUUUGACUGCGCUGCCUGACUCUGGGGACAUGGCAGUUACCACUUCAGACCCAACCCUAUCCCUUUAUAAAGCAGAGAGCAAGACAGACAGUGAUGGUUGAAAGUGAUCCAGUCAAAUGCAGCAAACACAGGGAAGUGAGUUGUAAAAGGCCAGACUAAUCUAGGUUCGUGUGAUCCAUCAGAAAGCCAGAGAGUCAUUAGCUGUCAGAGAACUGGUUAGAAUUCAAGUCAGGUUAUGAUUAUAGAGCUUCUAUAAGCAGUUAUGGUUGUUUUCUGUCCCCCACUCACCCACCAAGCUUGAGAUUUAUUCAUCAUUCAACAAUACUUCCUGAGCACUUAUGAUGCACCAGACACUCAGCUAAGAAUUAGGAGGGCGACAGAGCAAAAUAAUAAGACCCCUUCUAAUGGACCUUACAUUUUAGUAGUGGGAAAAAAAACCUGUUCAAACAGACCUCAAAAUAAACAAAAUAAUUUCAAGUGAAUGCAAUAGAGAAAAUAAAUAGGGUGAUGAGUGAAACCAGUGCCAGUGCUAAUGGUUGAUAUCAUGGUUAGUGGUUAACAAUGCCACCACUGUUAAUGGUCUACAAGAAGUUAAGAGAAGAAACUGUCAGUGUUUUGCAAUUUACAGCAAUUUGACAUGCCAUUGCCAUUGCCAUGACAUCCAAGCAUAUGAACAAAAGACUUGUCUUGCUCAGCAGAGUAGAAACCAAAAUGAUCUAUCCUUACAGAUUAGGGAGAUCAAAAAAAAAAAAAUGGGUCCUACUGGAGACCCGCAAAUAGUCUGAGAUGCCCUGGGUGGUGGGCAAUGAGGAAGAUAUAUUGUAUAUUUCAGCAGCUAAAAAAACAGAUGUUUAUUUCACACCCACGGAACCUUAUAAUGUGGGUGUUUUUGGUGGUCUGUGUAUUAAGUCAGAGAUUCAGGCACCCUCUGCUUGGUGAUGAUGCCUCUUCUAAGAACCCAGAGUCCUUUGAAUCCAGGCAUACAAAGAAUGGAGAAGCCCAAUUUGCAUCUUAAAAGUCUUGGCCUGAAAGUGAGCUUUUGUGCUCUGUUGGUGGGAAGGCGAAUAGGUACCACCACUGUGGUUCUUCAUCAACAAAUUAAAAUUACUAUAUGAUUCCACAGUUCCACUUCCGAGUAUACACACAAAGAAAAUUAAAUCAUCGCUGGCUACUCAUGGUAAUAAAGAAGGUUUCAUACCUGAAAUUAGUGUGGUAUAAGUUUAAGACUGCACUUCUACCUGGGCCCAGCACGAUCCUCGGCCCCCAUUCCUCAUCCUGCUCCCACUUCUUCCCUGGAUUCCCAGCUUUAAUCUCACCCACCACUUCCUUUCCCCCAUUUGGUUAUUCAACAUCUGUUUAGAGAGUCAGACUCUGUCUUGGACACCAAGGGCAGAGUGGUGAGCUAUGCAACCUUGUUGAAUUAAAGGUCCCUGAAUGUGGCCAGUUCUU